This 486-nucleotide ribosomal RNA is filed under the name uncultured bacterium. RNAcentral's name for it is "bacterial SSU rRNA". It matches the Rfam family "Bacterial small subunit ribosomal RNA", at positions 30 to 507 of the family's 1533-position model. The record is from RNAcentral.
UGAACGCUAGCGGCAGGCCUAACACAUGCAAGGUCGAAGGGGGUUAGAGUUCUUCGGGACUUGAGACCGGCGCACGGGUGCGUAACGCGUAUGCAAUCUACCUUAUACAGGGGAAUAGCCCAGAGAAAUUUGGAUUAAUGCCCCAUAGUGUUAUCGAAUCGCAUGGUUUGAUAACUAAAGUUCCAACGGUAUAAGAUGAGCAUGCGUCCCAUUAGUUAGUUGGUAAGGUAACGGCUUACCAAGACAACGAUUGGGUAGGGGUCCUGAGAGGGAGAUCCCCCCACACUGGUACUGAGACACGGACCAGACUCCUACGGGAGGCAGCAGUGAGGAAUAUUGGACAAUGGGCGCAAGCCUGAUCCAGCCAUGCCGCGUGCAGGAUGAAGGCCUUCGGGUUGUAAACUGCUUUGUACGGAACGAAACGGUGAGCUCUAAUACAGUUUGCUAAUGACGGUACCGUAAGAAUAAGCACCGGCUAACUACGUG